GCUAGUUAGGGACUCAGGGCUCUCAAUCUCGAUCCGCUGUGUCGGUGACAGUUGAGAGUCCCUGCUUAAGCUUGAAUAAACGACCCUUGUGUGCUUACAUCGAAAACGGCCUCCUGGUGGUCUCUGGGACUUCACAAUCUGGGCACAACAUUUGGGGGCUCGUCCGGGAUCCCAAGACCUUCAGGACUCCCGUACCGGAGGGUCAACGCCGGCUGCUUCUGCAGGUCCUGUUCACCACUGAGGAACGAGAGAGGAUCCAGAAUGAGGCCAGAAAAUUGGUUCCUGGUGACAAUGGUCAACCCACCACCAAUGCUGACACUAUCAACACUUCUUUUCCUCUGUCCCGACCCAACUGGGACUUCAACACGGCGGAAGCCUCCAAAGUGUGCACGAGGAUAUCUGGCCUAAAUUAAAAGCCUUAUAUCAAACUGGACCGCCUCCCGAGCCCCAUCGCUAUCGACCAGGAGACUGGGUCUUCGUCCAGAGACACCGACAAAGGGACCUUGAGCCCCGUUGAAAAGGACCCUACGUCACAGUCCUGACCACGCCCACCACUCUCAAGGUCGAGAUCCUCACGCUGUCCUAGAGGACUUCGUUCCAUCAUGGCAGGUGUCCAAAGACCAAGACAAUCCCCUCAAACUCAAGCUGCGUCGUCGAAGGUCAUGAUUGUGGUAACUGUACUUUUGACACUGAUUUUAGGAGGACAGAACCCACAUGCUCCCCUAAAUUUAACCUGGAUGAUCAUCAGUACCGCCACAGGUGACAUUAUUAACAGCUCGUCCAAAGUGAGCCCACCAUUAACCUGGUGGCCUGCUCUAGAGUUUGAUCUCUGUCGGCUAGCCACUGGCAGCUGGGAUAUCGGACACUGGAGCCUAGAGUCACGGGGAAGGCCUGAAUGUGGGGAAACAAAAAAGGGGUGUACCCUCCCCCCCGGUCGAUUCACGAACACCGGGCUGCAACCAUGUAAUUCGCAGGGCAAUAUUACGAGACACCCCCUUCUACAGGGAGGACUCUGCGUUGCCUUAGGUAAAGAAUGUUGCUUCUAUGUAGAUCAUUCAGGAGUGGUCAAAGAGUCCAUGGCUAAAGUUAGGGAAGACAUCGCCAAACGUAAGCGAAAAAGA
RNAcentral lists this long non-coding RNA (1121 nucleotides) under Heterocephalus glaber (naked mole-rat). RNAcentral's name for it is "lncRNA (ENSHGLG00100039592.1)". Lineage: Eukaryota; Metazoa; Chordata; Mammalia; Rodentia; Bathyergidae. The record is from RNAcentral.